GGAAUUUUCCGCAAUGGGCGAAAGCCUGACGGAGCAACGCCGCGUGAGGGAUGAAGGCCUCUGGGCUGUAAACCUCUUUUAUCAAGGAAGAAGAUCUGACGGUACUUGAUGAAUAAGCCACGGCUAAUUCCGUGCCAGCAGCCGCGGUAAUACGGGAGUGGCAAGCGUUAUCCGGAAUUAUUGGGCGUAAAGCGUCCGCAGGCGGUCUGUCAAGUCUGCUGUUAAAGCGUGGAGCUUAACUCCAUUUCGGCAGUGGAAACUGACAGACUAGAGUGUGGUAGGGGCAGAGGGAACUCCCGGUGUAGCGGUGAAAUGCGUAGAUAUCGGGAAGAACACCAGUGGCGAGGGCGCUCUGCUGGGCCAUAACUGACGCUCAUGGACGAAAGCCAGGGGAGCGAAAGGGAUUAGAUACCCCAGUAGUC
This 422-nucleotide ribosomal RNA is filed under the name uncultured cyanobacterium. RNAcentral's name for it is "bacterial SSU rRNA". It matches the Rfam family "Bacterial small subunit ribosomal RNA", at positions 358 to 795 of the family's 1533-position model. Lineage: Bacteria; Bacillati; Cyanobacteriota. The record is from RNAcentral.